GCCGAAGUGAUGGAAUGGUAUACAUGAUAGUUUCAAAAACUAUUGAUCGCAAGGUCAUGAGGGUUCGAGUCCCUCCUUCGGCA
Molecule: transfer RNA, 83 nt
Filed under: Candidatus Daviesbacteria bacterium RIFCSPHIGHO2_01_FULL_44_29
Lineage: Bacteria; Candidatus Daviesiibacteriota
Also listed under: 3 other names
Description: tRNA-Leu
Rfam family: tRNA
About the family: Transfer RNA (tRNA) molecules are approximately 80 nucleotides in length. Their secondary structure includes four short double-helical elements and three loops (D, anti-codon, and T loops). Further hydrogen bonds mediate the characteristic L-shaped molecular structure. tRNAs have two regions of fundamental functional importance: the anti-codon, which is responsible for specific mRNA codon recognition, and the 3' end, to which the tRNAs corresponding amino acid is attached (by aminoacyl-tRNA synthetases). tRNAs cope with the degeneracy of the genetic code in two manners: having more than one tRNA (with a specific anti-codon) for a particular amino acid; and 'wobble' base-pairing, i.e. permitting non-standard base-pairing at the 3rd anti-codon position.
Source: RNAcentral